UGAGUGAAUGCCUAAGUGAAACAGAGUUUGAAUUGAUUACCUAUAUGGAUACUACCCAUUUCUUAGCCACUAAGAUCUUCGUUGCCAUGAUAAAUUUUCCCAAGAUGAAAAUAUCCAUAUUCAGCUCAUCAGCAUUAUUGAUUUCAGAUCCACCAUGAAGAGAAGAGUAAAGAGUUGACACUAGGGAAAUCGUUCUCUCUGCACUUAGAGACCAGCUCACGCUAGGAAAGAUGGAACCCACAGAAAGAUCUGGCUCUCCCAGCUGAACUGAUACCUCUUGAUCUACCCAGAGUUCUUGCCCUGAACCCACUUAAUAGAGAACAU
This 324-nucleotide long non-coding RNA is filed under the name Equus asinus (donkey). RNAcentral describes it as "lncRNA (ENSEASG00005027471.1)". The record is from RNAcentral. Lineage: Eukaryota; Metazoa; Chordata; Mammalia; Perissodactyla; Equidae.